RNAcentral lists this ribosomal RNA (482 nucleotides) under uncultured bacterium. Its description in RNAcentral is "partial 16S ribosomal RNA". It matches the Rfam family "Bacterial small subunit ribosomal RNA", at positions 30 to 507 of the family's 1533-position model. The record is from RNAcentral.
AUUGAACGCUGGCGGCAUGCUCUACACAUGCAAGUCGAACGGUAACAGGCCGCAAGGUGCUGACGAGUGGCGAACGGGUGAGUAAUGCAUCGGAACGUGCCCAGUCGUGGGGGAUAACUACUCGAAAGAGUAGCUAAUACCGCAUACGAUCUAUGGAUGAAAGCGGGGGACCGUAAGGCCUCGCGCGAUUGGAGCGGCCGAUGUCAGAUUAGGUAGUUGGUGGGGUAAAGGCUCACCAAGCCAACGAUCUGUAGCUGGUCUGAGAGGACGACCAGCCACACUGGGACUGAGACACGGCCCAGACUCCUACGAGAGGCAGCAGUGGGGAAUUUUGGACAAUGGGCGCAAGCCUGAUCCAGCAAUGCCGCGUGCAGGAAGAAGGCCUUCGGGUUGUAAACUGCUUUUGUACGGAACGAAACGGCUCUGGUUAAUACCCGGGGCUAAUGACGGUACCGUAAGAAUAAGCACCGGCUAACUACGUG